RNAcentral lists this ribosomal RNA (250 nucleotides) under uncultured bacterium. RNAcentral's name for it is "partial 16S ribosomal RNA". It matches the Rfam family "Bacterial small subunit ribosomal RNA", at positions 355 to 597 of the family's 1533-position model. The record is from RNAcentral.
UGGGGAAUUUUGGACAAUGGGGGAAACCCUGAUCCAGCCAUGCCGCGUGUAUGAAGAAGGCCUUAGGGUUGUAAAGUACUUUUGUCAGGGAAGAAAAGCUUAAUAUUAAUACUAUUAAGUCAUGACGGUACCUGAAGAAUAAGCACCGGCUAACUACGUGCCAGCAGCCGCGGUAAUACGUAGGGUGCGAGCGUUAAUCGGAAUUACUGGGCGUAAAGCGAGCGCAGACGGUUAUUUAAGUCAGAUGUGA